Molecule: ribosomal RNA, 277 nt
Filed under: uncultured bacterium
Lineage: Bacteria
Description: partial 16S ribosomal RNA
Rfam family: Bacterial small subunit ribosomal RNA
Source: RNAcentral
GAUGAACGCUGGCGGCGUGCUUAACACAUGCAAGUCGAACGUGAAGGGCGCAAGCCCGGAAAGUGGCGGACGGGUGAGUAACACGUGGGUAACCUGCCUCGCAGUGGGGGAUAACCAGGGGAAACCGUGGCUAAUACCGCAUAGGCCUAGGGUGAUGGGAAUGCGCUAGGUAAAGCUUUAGUGCUGCGAGAGGGGCCUGCGUCCGAUUAGGUAGUUGGUGAGGUAAUGGCUCACCAAGCCGAUGAUCGGUAGCUGGUCUGAGAGGACGAUCAGCCAC